Temnothorax curvispinosus is the source of this 366-nucleotide long non-coding RNA. RefSeq lists it as uncharacterized. NCBI's taxonomy places the organism in Eukaryota, Metazoa, Arthropoda, Insecta, Hymenoptera, Formicidae. The record is from RefSeq and is a predicted model, not a curated record. The transcript is spliced from 3 exons.
UAUCUUUUUGAAUUUUUCAGUUGCGAAAUACGUCACGAGCGUGCGACGAGCUUCGGGCUUCGGGGGGAAUCGGGAUUGCCGGGCGAAUUGACAAGCGGAGUAUCGCGUAUCUCGCGUUAUUUACACGCUCGAAGUGCAUCGCCGAAUAAAGUGCCGAGUGGCGGCUAAUUAACGCGCGCGGUAAUUAGUCAUGUUUUUCGCGUCCGUGUGAGUGAUUCCCGUUCGACGGCGAAGGAGCUCGGAUCGACAGGAUGACAUCGGCUGAUGGAUACGAGAUCUUCGUUCUCGGAUGUUGCAGCAGGCUUGCAGGUCUGAUUUUUGCGCAACGUCUUGAUCAGAAGCUAUUUGCGGCAAAAGAGAUGCAGC